Molecule: ribosomal RNA, 460 nt
Filed under: uncultured bacterium
Lineage: Bacteria
Description: partial 16S ribosomal RNA
Rfam family: Bacterial small subunit ribosomal RNA
Source: RNAcentral
CCUACGGGAGGCAGCAGUGAGGAAUAUUGGUCAAUGGGCGCGAGCCUGAACCAGCCAAGUAGCGUGAAGGAUGACUGCCCUACGGGUUGUAAACUUCUUUUAUAAAGGAAUAAAGUGAGGCACGUGUGCCUUUUUGUAUGUACUUUAUGAAUAAGGAUCGGCUAACUCCGUGCCAGCAGCCGCGGUAAUACGGAGGAUCCGAGCGUUAUCCGGAUUUAUUGGGUUUAAAGGGAGCGGAGGUGGGAUGUUAAGUCAGUUGUGAAAGUUUGCGGCUCAACCGUAAAAGUGCAAUUGAUACUGGCAGGAUUGAGUAAAGUAGAGGUAGGCGGAAUUCGUGGUGUAGCGGUGAAAUGCUUAGAUAUCACGAAGAACUCCGAUUGCGAAGGCAGCCUACUAAACUGCAACUGACGUUGAUGCUCGAAAGUGUGGGUAUCAAACAGGAUUAGAUACCCCUGUAGUC